RNAcentral lists this ribosomal RNA (497 nucleotides) under uncultured bacterium. Its description in RNAcentral is "partial 16S ribosomal RNA". It matches the Rfam family "Bacterial small subunit ribosomal RNA", at positions 28 to 507 of the family's 1533-position model. The record is from RNAcentral.
GAUGAACGCUGGCGGCGUGCCUAAUACAUGCAAGUCGAGCGAACGGACGAGAAGCUUGCUUCUCUGAUGUUAGCGGCGGACGGGUGAGUAACACGUGGAUAACCUACCUAUAAGACUGGGAUAACUUCGGGAAACCGGAGCUAAUACCGGAUGAUAUUUUGAACCGCAUGGUUCAAAAGUGAAAGACGGUCUUGCUGUCACUUAUAGAUGGAUCCGCGCUGCAUUAGCUAGUUGGUAAGGUAACGGCUUACCAAGGCAACGAUGCAUAGCCGACCUGAGAGAGUGAUCGGCGACACUGGAACUGAGACACGGUCCAGACUCCUACGGGAGGCAGCAGUAGGGAAUCGUCCGCAAUGGGCGAAAGCCUGACGGAGCAACGCCGCGUGAGUGAUGAAGGUCUUCGGAUCGUAAAACUCUGUUAUUAGGGAAGAACAUAUGUGUAAGUAACUGUGCACAUCUUGACGGUACCUAAUCAGAAAGCCACGGCUAACUACGUG